This is a long non-coding RNA of Ictalurus furcatus (blue catfish), 1248 nucleotides long. RefSeq lists it as uncharacterized. The transcript has 4 exons. The record is from RefSeq and is a predicted model, not a curated record. Lineage: Eukaryota; Metazoa; Chordata; Actinopteri; Siluriformes; Ictaluridae.
GGUCUGACUCAUAACAUGUCACAGUGAUAGGAAUAGCUACAUUAUGCAACACAGGACCAUGUAAGCAGAGACAAGGGUGCAUAGUGCCAAGUGCCAAAAUGCAUCAACAUGAGCUCCUCUGGAGUCUGAUGGGUUUGAGGAUUUUCUUGUAUAAAAGUUACAGUUCGAAAUCAUUUCCACCAAGGCACACAUUUCCCGUUCACUUUAAUUAAACACGUGAAGCAAUAAACCAGACGAGAGAUAAAUUCAUUACCAGAAAGUUGCGGUCUUCUGCUGUGGCCGGGGUGCAGUCCAUGUCCCGCGUGUGGAGGAAGUUUCCUGCACUGUGUGCUGGAUGUGCGGUGUACAGAGCUCUGUGCGGGAAGCCACCGCAGCUCCAUUGCGUGGAGGCUCCACGUGUCUCGCGCCUUUCCAGCGUUUUGUCACGCAUGGCAGCAGUACCUGUCAGAGAACGCGGAACAAUCUGCGGGAUGGAUUACCAGCCCGGCCUAUUGGGCACAUGCCCAGGAGCCCUGGAUGUGCAGAGAUUUUACAAUGAAUGAUCUUUUCAGAUGUGUAAAAAAUUUCUGACCACAUGAAGGACACAGACAGGACUAAAAUCCCAGAGAGAUACGUUUAAUAAUGAACACCUUGCCAUGUAAAACUAGUCCAAAGCAAACAUGGCUCAAUAACUUUUGUUUAGUUUGUUUGGAGGAUUGUAACGUUUUGUUUAGUUUCUCAAAAACAUAGCACCAAAACUGUUUGAAAUAGGCUACUCAGAGCUGUACUCAGGGCUGUGACGCAUUUCUGUUUUGAAAUUGUCUGUUUCUCGAGUUUUCACUAUACAUUUGUCAGCACUGAUAGUUCUUUAUAAUGCAAUCAAAAUGGGUGUCUGCUGUAAAGAAUUUAAGACUGAAUUAAGAAAUAUAAUGAGCACUGCUGUGCAUCCGCCAAAGUGGAUUAACCCUCUAAAUUUUUAAAGUAAGUGCAGGUUUGGCAGCUGCUCAAACAAACACAAUAAGCUACAUAACUGCCACAGCUAUAUUACUGAAACACAGAAUUAUAGUUUAAAAUAUUUAUCGCAGAUAUGAAAUAUUCUCAUAGCGCAAUUAUUUCUGUUAAAUUAUUGCGAUGAUAUAACGCUAUAUAACUUUAUGACUUUUAGGAUUUGUGAAUCAGCAGGAGUGUUGCCUGAAAUCUGACAAGCCUUUGAUUUGAUCUAAGAAUGGGCUGUUACACUGAAUGUUUAGCUUAAAACAACAAUUUAUU